ACGCUGGCGGCAGGCCUAACACAUGCAAGUCGAGCGGUAGCACGGGAGAGCUUGCUCUCUGGGUGACGAGCGGCGGACGGGUGAGUAAUGUCUGGGAAACUGCCUGAUGGAGGGGGAUAACUACUGGAAACGGUAGCUAAUACCGCAUGACCUCGCAAGAGCAAAGUGGGGGACCUUCGGGCCUCACGCCAUCGGAUGUGCCCAGAUGGGAUUAGCUAGUAGGUGGGGUAAUGGCUCACCUAGGCGACGAUCCCUAGCUGGUCUGAGAGGAUGACCAGCCACACUGGAACUGAGACACGGUCCAGACUCCUACGGGAGGCAGCAGUGGGGGAUAUUGCACAAUGGGCGCAAGCCUGAUGCAGCCAUGCCGCGUGUGUGAAGAAGGCCUUAGGGUUGUAAAGCACUUUCAGCGAGGAGGAAGGCGUUGUAGUUAAUAGCUGCAGCGAUUGACGUUACUCGCAGAAGAAGCACCGGCUAACUCCGUGCCAGCAGCCGCGGUAAUACGGAGGGUGCAAGCGUUAAUCGGAAUUACUGGGCGUAAAGCGCACGCAGGCGGUUUGUUAAGUCAGAUGUGAAAUCCCCGAGCUUAACUUGGGAACUGCAUUUGAAACUGGC
Molecule: ribosomal RNA, 615 nt
Filed under: uncultured bacterium
Lineage: Bacteria
Description: bacterial SSU rRNA
Rfam family: Bacterial small subunit ribosomal RNA
Source: RNAcentral